CUUCUUAUAUUUGGCCUGCAAUGAAAAACAUGGUAUCAAAUACUUGGUGGUGGAGCAACUUACGAAAAACAUCGUGAGCAAAGCAUCAUUGUAGUAUAACUAUAUAAAAGGCUUGUC
Arenibacter sp. is the source of this 117-nucleotide non-coding RNA. The record is from Rfam. NCBI's taxonomy places the organism in Bacteria, Pseudomonadati, Bacteroidota, Flavobacteriia, Flavobacteriales, Flavobacteriaceae.